UUGAAUUUUGAACAACCAAGAAUUAUUUGGGAAUGAGGUAUUAGCUUCAAAUGACCCUCAACAUGAGUCUUAGAUGCUGAUAGAAGUCACCCAAUGAAAUAGGUUAAACGUUUUUAAAGGAGACAAAGAAACUUAACACUGCUAUAAUUAUUAUUAGUGGGAGCAUGACCUCAUAAAUACUUGUAUUCGAUAUCAUUGUUGAAAGCUCUUUAACAUCACUUUGAAAAGCAAUUCAGAAAGCAAUUGGGUGGAGGAGAUUAUUACAGGAUGAACUAAGAAGAAACUUGCCUAAUAUUAUGCAAAUAGGCAUAUCUGAUUUAGGAUAAAUUCUUUAAUAGCAUCAUGCAUGGAUUUCAAAAGUGCUCUGUUUCAAAAAUCUACUUGAGAAGAAGAUGAUGUAAUCUGAAAAACUGAUGGAUGAAUCCAAGAAACAAGUACUAACUAAAUACUCUUCAGGAUGAUGGACCACAUUAACCUUCUCUCUACCAAGUACACUUUUUCUUUAUUUGUGCUCUCACCAAUAUUAAAACAGCAGUAAUCUGGCAGUCAGUACUCAGAAGUACAUCCAGAGAAACACUGUGUGCUUUUAGGAUAAGCUUCUGCAGAUAACCAGAGUGCCCUGUGGCUUGUUGGCUUGGCCCUGAAUCUCUCCCUUUCGUAUUGCCUUCACUGAUACUUCAUGACAAGAAGAGCCAGCUCUGCAGGUGAAUAUAAGACAUUAAUCCAUGUGCCUGUGCUCCCUGGGAGUGUGGAAUGGGAGAACUGAAAAGCACCAGGGACAUCCUGAUCUCUGAAGAUACCAACCUCUACCCUUUGGGUGGAAAAUAAAAUGAUCUCUGACCCAUUGUGCAGCUCUCUGAAGAAACUGGCUGCCAAGCUAUCGAGAGCGCCUGGAUGUUCUCUGAACGUUGGGUUGGCACUGUUUCACCAUCCAUGUCAGAGAGGGGAGACAGAGAGUAGUAUGUAAGCAAUCUGUAAUUAAUUGUACAUUAUAAACUUGCAGAAUGGUAGUGCUGGGAUGGACUUUAGCAGUCAUCUGGUCUAGACAUUCUCAAUGGCUGGGCUGUAGAUCAUGUUUCAGAAUCAUUCAGGAAGAUUUUUAAUCAUGCAGAGGCCAGGUCCUACCCCUGGAGAUGCUGACUUAAUAGGUCUCUGGUAGGGUCAGAGCAUUUGUACGCUAAGGAGAUGCCCACUAAAAGAAAUUCAUGCCCUGGCCGGGGGCUCAGUUCUCAGUUGGUUGGAGCGUCGUUCUGGACACCAAAAGGUUGAGAAUCAAUAAGAACACAUCCUCGGGAGUGGAUUAAAAAAAAUUAAGUACUAAUCAUUUGUGUCUGGUUAUUGUUAUACAUGCCAUUUCUUAUGUGUGUAUUUUUGAAAUUUUUCAGCAGUUUGAAUAAUGUUAGAAGGAAUAUCAGAAUUAGAAUAUCAUCACUCUGUAACCCCUAAUGAGUCAACGGAUGUAGGCAAUGGUUGUCAAUAGCAAUAGAUCUAGACAAUGAAUAAUACAUAAGAAUAUUGAUGCGAUGUGAAAUACUAUGGAUGAGUGAAUACUUUAAGCUGUUGUCCCAAAAAAAGAUGCCCAGGUGAUUUCAAUGACUGGUCCAAGUUGAGAACAUUAAUCUUCCUUCUCUUCAUUAUUCAUAUGAGAAAGAGUUAAGUCAUGGAGCAGAUACCAAAAUAAAGCACCCACUCAGAGACCCAAACAUCUUUUAUCAUGUGAGGUCUUUCCUCCCUCUUAGACUGUACUGAAGUGUUUAAAGAAAAAACAACCAGCAUAUGAAUCCUAGCAAGAUAUGCUUUGCCUCAAUUUCCUCUGUCUCAAUUUUGGUAGUUCCUAUAGACCAUUUUGGUCAAUAAAAUAUUGUAUCUUGCUGUAUCAUUACCUGCCAAGUGGAGAGAAAAAAUAAGGUAGUUAAUGUAAUUACUGUCCCUACAGUAAUAGUCCAUAUAUUAUCUGUCUAAUCUUCUAAAGAACUGGGUGGUACAGAGGGUGGCAGAUGUAAUAUUCCAAAGACCAGCGUUUUAGAAAGGUGACUUUAUUACCGAUCUAGGUAGUGGAGGAAGUUGAGAAGUGGGAGGGGAAUGGUAGGAAAAACACUUUAAGGAAUCUAGGGCUCUCAGAACCUUAAGGGAGGUAAUGCUGAAGCAAUUGAAAGGCUUGGAGCUGAAAUACUUGGUUCAAACCGUGGGUUUCCUCUUACUACAAGUAGACUUUGGAAAAGCCACUUAACCUUCCUGAGCCUCAGUUUCCUCUGAUGUAGCAGGCUACAUUCACAGAUUGUUGUGAAGAUUAAAUAGAGUGACAUAAAUGAAAGAUUAUUUGUAAACUCUACAACACUAGGUAAAUGUAAGGGGCCAUUACCUAGGCUCAUUCACUCUGCCAAUGAACUAGGUCUGUCUUUGACAGUGGCCAAAUCCAGGAAUGUGGAAAGAAGCAUUUAGCUUUCUUGCAGAUGGGUGGUUCUCCCUGAAUCUAGAUUGUAGCAUCAUUUCUAUCUCUGGCUAGAGAAUCCAUGAUGUCUUUUUAGACCAAAUAACUUACUUUCUAUUUAUUCUCUUG
This is a long non-coding RNA of Miniopterus natalensis, 2560 nucleotides long. RefSeq lists it as uncharacterized. NCBI's taxonomy places the organism in Eukaryota, Metazoa, Chordata, Mammalia, Chiroptera, Miniopteridae. The record is from RefSeq and is a predicted model, not a curated record.